GGGUUGUGAGGUUAAGCGACUAAGCGUACACGGUGGAUGCCCUGGCAGUCAGAGGCGAUGAAGGGCGUGCUAAUCUGCGAUAAGCGCCGGUAAGGUGAUAUGAACCGUUAUAACCGGCGAUACCCGAAUGGGGAAACCCAGUGUGACUCGUCACACUAUCAUUAACUGAAUCCAUAGGUUAAUGAGGCGAACCGGGGGAACUGAAACAUCUAAGUACCCCGAGGAAAAGAAAUCAACCGAGAUUCCCCCAGUAGCGGCGAGCGAACGGGGAGGAGCCCAGAGCCUGAAUCAGCAUGUGUGUUAGUGGAAGCGUCUGGAAAGGCGCGCGAUACAGGGUGACAGCCCCGUACACAAAAGCGCAUGUGCUGUGAGCUCGAUGAGUAGGGCGGGACACGUGGUAUCCUGUCUGAAUAUGGGGGGACCAUCCUCCAAGGCUAAAUACUCCUGACUGACCGAUAGUGAACCAGUACCGUGAGGGAAAGGCGAAAAGAACCCCGGGAGGGGAGUGAAAAAGAACCUGAAACCGUGUACGUACAAGCAGUGGGAGCCCCACCACCAAAGCAUUCUCUGGUGUUGAAGGCCCUGCAAAGCAGCAUCGCGGUGGCGGAGCGUCGUUUGCGACGCCCAACACACAAAACAAGCGGUGAAUGCUUUGGGGUGGGGUGACUGCGUACCUUUUGUAUAAUGGGUCAGCGACUUAUAUUCUGUAGCAAGGUUAACCGAAUAGGGGAGCCGGAGGGAAACCGAGUCUUAAUUGGGCGUUAAGUUGCAGGGUAUAGACCCGAAACCCGGUGAUCUAGCCAUGGGCAGGUUGAAGGUUGGGUAACACUAACUGGAGGACCGAACCGACUAAUGUUGAAAAAUUAGCGGAUGACCUGUGGCUGGGGGUGAAAGGCCAAUCAAACCGGGAGAUAGCUGGUUCUCCCCGAAAGCUAUUUAGGUAGCGCCUCGUGAAUUCAUCUCCGGGGGUAGAGCACUGUUUCGGCUAGGGGGCCAUCCCGGCUUACCAACCCGAUGCAAACUGCGAAUACCGGAGAAUGUUAUCACGGGAGACACACGGCGGGUGCUAACGUCCGUCGUGAAGAGGGAAACAACCCAGACCGCCAGCUAAGGUCCCAAAGUCAUGGUUAAGUGGGAAACGAUGUGGGAAGGCCCAGACAGCCAGGAUGUUGGCUUAGAAGCAGCCAUCAUUUAAAGAAAGCGUAAUAGCUCACUGGUCGAGUCGGCCUGCGCGGAAGAUGUAACGGGGCUAAACCAUGCACCGAAGCUGCGGCAGCGAACGUAUCACCCAAGACAACUUUACGGAGUUGACGAUUGACGGAGCGAAGCGACGUCAAAGCGUUCAUUAAAGUCGAGUUGGCUUAGGGAUACGUUCGUUGGGUAGGGGAGCGUUCUGUAAGCCUGUGAAGGUGUGUCGUGAGGCAUGCUGGAGGUAUCAGAAGUGCGAAUGCUGACAUAAGUAACGAUAAAGCGGGUGAAAAGCCCGCUCGCCGGAAGACCAAGGGUUCCUGUCCAACGUUAAUCGGGGCAGGGUGAGUCGACCCCUAAGGCGAGGCCGAAAGGCGUAGUCGAUGGGAAACGGGUUAAUAUUCCCGUACUUGGUGUUACUGCGAAGGGGGGACGGAGAAGGCUAUGUUGGCCGGGCGACGGUUGUCCCGGUUUAAGCGUGUAGGUGUGUGUUCCAGGUAAAUCCGGUUCACUUUAACACUGAGGCGUGACGACGAGGCACUACGGUGCUGAAGCAACAAAUGCCCUGCUUCCAGGAAAAGCCUCUAAGCAUCAGGUAACACGAAAUCGUACCCCAAACCGACACAGGUGGUCAGGUAGAGAAUACCAAGGCGCUUGAGAGAACUCGGGUGAAGGAACUAGGCAAAAUGGUGCCGUAACUUCGGGAGAAGGCACGCUGACACGUAGGUGAAGUGAUUUACUCAUGGAGCUGAAGUCAGUCGAAGAUACCAGCUGGCUGCAACUGUUUAUUAAAAACACAGCACUGUGCAAACACGAAAGUGGACGUAUACGGUGUGACGCCUGCCCGGUGCCGGAAGGUUAAUUGAUGGGGUCAGCG
RNAcentral lists this ribosomal RNA (2065 nucleotides) under Salmonella enterica. RNAcentral describes it as "partial 23S ribosomal RNA". It matches the Rfam family "Bacterial large subunit ribosomal RNA", at positions 1 to 1895 of the family's 2925-position model. Lineage: Bacteria; Pseudomonadati; Pseudomonadota; Gammaproteobacteria; Enterobacterales; Enterobacteriaceae. The record is from RNAcentral.